RNAcentral lists this ribosomal RNA (471 nucleotides) under uncultured bacterium. RNAcentral's name for it is "partial 16S ribosomal RNA". It matches the Rfam family "Bacterial small subunit ribosomal RNA", at positions 28 to 507 of the family's 1533-position model. The record is from RNAcentral.
GACGAACGCUGGCGGCGUGCUUAACACAUGCAAGUCGAACGAUGAAGCCUAGCUUGCUAGGUGGAUUAGUGGCGAACGGGUGAGUAAUACGUGAGUAACCUACCUUUAACUCUGGGAUAAGCCUGGGAAACUGGGUCUAAUACCGGAUACGACCAAUCUCCGCAUGGGGUGUUGGUGGAAAGCGUUAUGUAGUGGUUAUAGAUGGGCUCACGGCCUAUCAGCUUGUCGGUGAGGUAACGGCUCACCAAGGCGACGACGGGUAGCCGGCCUGAGAGGGUGACCGGCCACACUGGGACUGAGACACGGCCCAGACUCCUACGGGAGGCAGCAGUGGGGAAUAUUGCACAAUGGGCGCAAGCCUGAAGCAGCGACGCCGCGUGAGGGAUGACGGCCUUCGGGUUGUAAACCUCUGUUAGCAGGGAAGAAGAGAAAUUGACGGUACCUGCAGAGAAAGCGCCGGCUAACUACGUG